AAAGGUCAAAGUAGCAUAAUGAAAUAAAGUGUACGUUGGCUCCUAAAUCCAGAAAGAUCCACCAAACAUUCUUUUGCACUGGUAGGUGGUUUAAGGUACAGCACCUUAUCCUUCAUUUUGGAGGGGCUAUCCAGACAUGCUCCAGACCAUUAGUCCCCCAGAAACUUCACUGAGGUGGCAUGCCCCUAAAUUUUGAUGGGGAUUAUCUCCCACUCUCUGGUUUGCACGCUGAUUACUAAGGCAUCUAAAGUACAGUUAUUUCCUACUCAUCAGAUCAGAUACCAUCAGCAUAAUGUCAUCAAUGCAGUGGACCAGUGUGACAUGGGGAACAUAAAGAUGGUCACGAUUUUUGCAGACUCCAUAUGCAAAGUAUUAUAGGCUUCAGGAUAAGCCUCCCACAACUACCACUCCCAGUUUGGACUAAUAGCACCAGGAAGAAAGAAGAGUAAAAGUAGAGGCUGUCAGUAAGGACAAGAUUAGUGUAUGCAGAAGAGCUCCACAGAGAAGGCAAAUAUGUGUGUGGUGGAUUUCAAACGUACCUGCAAAUCCUUUGCCAUUCUUCCCAUCAAGAGGAAUCAAAUUCCCGUCCCUUUGUAUUUUUUGUUUUUUAAGACAGAGUCUCACUCUUGUCACCCAGGCUGGAGUGCAGUGGCAGGAUCUCAGCUCACUGCAACCUCCGCCUCCCAGAUUCAAACAAUUCUCCUGCCUCAGCCUCCCGAGUAGCUAGGAUUACAGCCACGCGCCACCAUGCCCGGCUAAUUUUGUAUUUUUAGUAGAGACAGGGUUUCACCGUGUUAGCCAGG
RNAcentral lists this long non-coding RNA (803 nucleotides) under Homo sapiens (human). RNAcentral describes it as "non-protein coding lnc-MAPK6-3:12". The record is from RNAcentral. Lineage: Eukaryota; Metazoa; Chordata; Mammalia; Primates; Hominidae.